This 422-nucleotide long non-coding RNA is filed under the name Marmota monax (woodchuck). Lineage: Eukaryota; Metazoa; Chordata; Mammalia; Rodentia; Sciuridae. The record is from RNAcentral.
CCUAAACAUCCAAUUUCUAUAAGCAACAGAGACUGAGCAUGUGCAAAUAUUCAUACAUUACAAAUAGUUGGAUUUGCAUUGUUUGUAACUGCUUCCAAAAACUAAAAUUUGCAGUAGUCCUGUUAAAAAUGUGUUAGAAAUCACAGAUUCCUGUUUCAUCACAGAAAAUACAGUACACUCUUCUAGCUACUUGACAGCCUGGAAUGUAACACACUUGCCUCAGAAAUUUAAUGCAUCAGUCAAAUGAAAACUUUCCUUCACCCUAGCAGUCUUGUCAGAAUGCCUAUGAUAAAAAUCUGAAAGAUAGGGGCUGGGGUUCUGGCUCAGUUAUAGAGUGCUUCCCUAGCACAUGGGAGGCACUGUGUUCAAGCAUCAGAACCACAUAAAAACAAAUAAAAUAAAAGUUAUUUGUCUAUCUAUGA